GCCAGCAGCCAUAUCACCCUGCAACUCACAACUGGCAACCCGUUGAAGCUAACCAGGUGUGAGCCUGGUCAGUACCUGGGUGGGAAACCUCCUGGGAAAGCUAAGGUUGCUGCUGGAA
This 118-nucleotide ribosomal RNA is filed under the name Lepisosteus oculatus (spotted gar). Lineage: Eukaryota; Metazoa; Chordata; Actinopteri; Semionotiformes; Lepisosteidae. The record is from RNAcentral.